AAUCACGUCUGAUCCGAGGUCAGGAAAGUUGUUAAGCACCAAAGUGCAAAACCGAUUUGCAUCGAAUGCAUUGCCACUACUGGAGCCUCAACCAAAGACAAAGGAACAACAACGGAGCGCGCGCAU
Molecule: ribosomal RNA, 126 nt
Filed under: Opisthorchis viverrini
Lineage: Eukaryota; Metazoa; Platyhelminthes; Trematoda; Opisthorchiida; Opisthorchiidae
Description: partial 5.8S ribosomal RNA
Source: RNAcentral